RNAcentral lists this ribosomal RNA (449 nucleotides) under uncultured bacterium. Its description in RNAcentral is "partial 16S ribosomal RNA". It matches the Rfam family "Bacterial small subunit ribosomal RNA", at positions 29 to 523 of the family's 1533-position model. The record is from RNAcentral.
AACGAACGCUGGCGGCAUGCCUAACACAUGCAAGUCGAACGAGAUCUUCGGGUCUAGUGGCGCACGGGUGCGUAACGCGUGGGAAUCUGCCCUGUGGUUCGGAAUAACAGUUGGAAACGACUGCUAAUACCGGAUGAUGACGAAAGUCCAAAGAUUUAUCGCCAGAGGAUGAGCCCGCGUAGGAUUAGCUAGUUGGUGUGGUAAAGGCGCACCAAGGCGACGAUCCUUAGCUGGUCUGAGAGGAUGAUAAGCCACACUGGGACUGAGACACGGCCCAGACUCCUACGGGAGGCAUCAGUGGGGAAUAUUGGACAAUGGGCGAAAACCUGAUCCAGCAAUGCCGCGUGCGUGAUUAAGACCUUAGGUUUGUAAAGCUCUUUUACCCGGGAUGAUAAUGACAGUACCGGGAUAAUAAGCCCCGGCUAACUCCGUGCCAGCCGCCGCAGUAA